AUCUCCACGACUAUGGUGCUCUUCGUACCUACUCCUAGGUUGAGGGACUGAUUACCUCAUCUUCUGUACAUAGUUAUACUAUCUUCAAGUUAUGUCCUGGAAUUUGUAUUGAUAAAGCCAGUGGAUGGCGAAACGUCUACAAUAAAGAUACCCAGAUGUUGCACAUGUGCCUUAAUUUCAUCACACGACAGUGUCCUCCAUCGAAGACAAUGCAAGAUUCCAAGCGGAAAUCAACCAAAUCUUUAAAUGGGCCGCGGAAAAUCUGAAGUUCAAUGACUAGAAAUUUCAAUUACUCUGAUAUGGAAACUGAGGAAAUUAAAACUAUAUCGGAGUAUAAACCAAAUUCCAACCACACAAUAGAGCGAGAAACUAAUGUGAAGGACCUGUGAGUGAUAAUGUCGGAGGAUCUCGCUUUCAAAGAUCACAACAAUGUAUAUCACAUCUGCUAGAAAAAUGAUGGGAUGGAUAAUGAGAACUUUCAAAACUAGGGAUGCCAAGCCCAUGAUUCCCUUUAAAUCGCUUGAUUUUCCUAGGCUGGAAUAUUGCUGUACGCUAACGGCGUCUUCAAGGCAGGUGAAAUUACUGAUCUUUAAAAUGUACAGAAAACUUUCACGGCACACAUAAGUACGAUAAAACACCUAAAUUAUUGGGAACGGUUGAAGUUCCUUGACUGUAUUCUCUGGAACGCAGGCGAGAAAGAUACAUGAUAAUAUAAAGUAGAGGGAUUAGUACCAAAUUUACACAUGGAAAUCACUCCCUAAAAAAAGAAAAAGACUCGGCAGGUGGUACAACAUUUUCCUACCCCCCCCCCCAAUGAAAAGCAGGGGCGCCACGAGUAUGCUAAAGAGACAACACAGUAAGUGUCAGGGGCCCAAAACUUCAAUUGCCUCCCAGCAUACCUAAGGGGGAUCUUCAGCAAGGCGCUGGACAGGCACCUAAGUCAGUUCCUGACCAGCCGGGCUGUAGUUCGUACUUCGCUUUGCAUGCGGCCAACAAUAACAGCCUGGUUGAUCAGGCCCUGAUCCACCCCGAGGCCUGGUCACAGACCGGGCCGCGGGGGCGUUGGUCCCCGAAACCUUCUCCAGGUAUACUCCAGAUAUACCUUUGACGAGUUUUGAGAGUUUCCACUCCCAGAGCCCGACCGUUGGUUAGGCUCGGUCUUGUGCUUGCCCGGUCAACCAGAUAAUGUUUUCUAAAUCAUUUAUACAUACUGGUCACCAAGACUGUUUUUGUCGGUGACCCGCUGAUGAAGAUCUCCAUCACAGCCUAGUUGAUGUGCCACCUGCUGAAAACACUUGUUUAAUUAACUUUUAAAAACUUCUAAACUUGUCUCAGCAGUGUUUCUGAUAUGUUAGUAAGAUGUUGAAUAGUCGGGGACCGUGGACGUUACCUUAUUGCACCCAUGGCGAACCUGCUUAUUUUGCACUUACACAAGAACAUAGAGGAACACUGCAGCAGGCCUACUGGCCCAUACUAGGCAAGCCCUUCUGAAACCCAAACCCUUUUAUAAAAUCAUUGAUUAAUUUCAUUUUCAAUGGUAUCCAAGGAAUAAGUUUUGAUAACCAUAUUAACUGGUAUUGUGUAAGUCCCUCUCAGAUUAACGACUCCCAUUCGUGUAUUUAUCUAACCUAUAUUUGAAGCUACCCAAGGUUUGACUUCUAUGACCCUACUAUGCAGACUGUUCCACUCAUCUAUUUUUCCAAACCAGUAUUAUCUACUUCCUUUCUAAAUCUAAGCUUAUCUAGUUUGAAUCCAUUAUUUCUUGUUCUUUCUUGAAGAGAUAUCCUCAGAACCUUAUUUAUAUUUCCUUUAUGCCCAUCCAUUUAUACCCUUCAGUCGUCUCUCUCCUCAUUUUACAUCUUACGUGGCACCCUAUCAGAAGCUUAAUUAAAACACAAAUAAACAGUAUCUUAUUCUUAAUCAUGAUCAGCUACCUCAAAUGCUUUACUGAAGACAAAUUAGUGAGGCAGGAACGGCCCCUGGUGACUCCAUGUUUUGUAUCAUAAAUCGAAUUGCUUAUUCAUAUCAGUGAUAUAAUUGACUAGUAAUUUGUCUACGUUUGGGGUCAGGCUUAUUGGGUGGUAAUUUGAUGGCAGUGGCUUAUCUCCACUUUUAAAAAUAUCGCUUAAAUUAGCAAUCUUUCACAUCUCGUAUAUUACACCAUUUUUGCAUGCGUUAAGAUCCCUUGGGGGGGGGGGAAUCAUUAGGGCCUGAAGACUUGUUUUGCUUUAAUCGGUCAACCUGUUUGAUUAUCAUCUCCGUAGUCACUGCGGUAUUACAUUUUCUUCUUCAGGCCCACUGUAAUAAUUACUGAGAUAUAGUUUGUGUCGUAAAAACCGAGAGGAAAUGUUAAAAAAUGAGCACAUUUCUUUUUCAAUGUCAGUAAGCUGUUCAGUUAGUUUAAAGAGAACCUAGCUUUUGUCUAACCUGUGUUCUAUAUAUUUAAAUAAAAAAAAAUCUUUCUGGUAUUUUUUCGAAUCCUUUGCAACUUUAAUUUCGUAGUGCCGUUUAGCUUUUCUUAUACCUUCAUUAAUUUCCCUCAUAAUGUGAAUAUAUUAAUUCAUAAGAUGACCCUCACCUAUCUUUUUACGCUUAUAAAUGCUUUUCUUUUGCCCUAAAAGAUGUUUAAGAAUGUUUCAGAUCGCUCCUAUUCAGUCAUAUUUCUCUUAACGGAAUAAAUAUUCUUUGAACAGCUAGUGUAGUGUAUAGAAAAGUGUCAUAUUGACAGUUGUCUUCGUUAUUCCCAGUCCACACACAAGUGUUCUCUAAGCCCAUUGUAACUGUUGUAUAAAUGGUUUGGAAAACCGACAAGUUGAUAAAUAAGACAUUUGUGUAACAUUCUGGCAAUGACUUCUUGACUCCAGUACUGAGGAGAGCAGUAGAAGCUGAGGAAUAGUUUAAAGUAAUCAUUCCCUCAGCCUGUCAGUUUUCUAAACAAUUUAUACAAAUUCUUUCAGACACAUCAACAUUUUGGUAUCUUGACGCAGGAAAUUCCUCAGGUUUGCCUAACGUAUAGGCAUGAUCUACUUCCACUAGUGGACUUUUCCAAGUUUGGGGAGACAGGAUAUCAUGUCUGAUAUUAAUUUUUCAUGUCCCUUUGAAAAUUCUACCCAGACACUGUAUGUGCUCUUUCAGUCUUUGUUGCCGGAUUUAUAAAUCAGUUAGUUUUUUCGGAUAUGUGGUACUAUCCCAAUUCCCUUCCCGUUAUUAAUGUCAGCUUGGAGCAGCUUGAAUCUGAGAUUCUUUCAAGACUAUAAGUAAGUAAGUAAGUUUAUUCAUUCAGGUAUACACAAAUACAGUUACAUAGAAUUAUCAUACAUCACUUGCUCUUAGGCUGAGCAUCUUCAUCUUCCACUGUCGUCUGUAUAUAUUUGUAGUCUACAGAUUAUGUCCAUGAAUUGUAUUGAUAAAUCCACUGGAUGGCGUAACAUCUAUGAAGAUGCCCAAAUGUUCAGCAUAUGUCUAAUUCAUCAUUGUCGGUAUUGCAUAUCAUUGAUAUACAAAAGAAAGGAACACUGAAAAUAACCCCCAUAGUUAUAAACUAGGUGAUCAGACAGAAUACGUUAGACAAUAGUUCAUUAGUAUCCUCAGAAUCUGUUAUUCGGCCAGUCAUUGUCAUGGCCUGGAAAGUGAUAUAUCGCAGUGAAAUGUGGACAAGUAUAAAGUUCUAAUCCUUGGGAAUGAAAAUAAACCCUAGUUAUAAACAAGAUGUAGAGCUUGAUCAUACAGAAUGUGAAAAAGACUUCCGAGUCCUGGUAAGCAGAAAUCUGAAGCCAAGGCAGCAGUGCCUAAGUGUGCACAAUGAGGUUAACAUUAUGUGCUUAAAUUUAUAUCAAGAAUAAUGAAUAACAGGAGUCCAGAAAUUAUUUUAGAUCACUGUACAUAACUAGUAAGGCUUAUUAGUUUUGGUCUCCAUUCUACAGAAUGGAUAUAAAUGCAUUGGAGGAUAUUGUAUACAUUGUAUAGAAAACCGACAAUUGUAUGAAUGAAACUCUUGUAACAUUUGGGUAUCUAUUGUGGAUGAAACUUUUCACCAGCCAGUGGCUUCAUCAGUCUAGUACAGGGAAGAAUGGAAGCUUGAGGUAAUCAGUCCCCCAGCCUGGAUGUGUGUUCGGUCCACCAGUCUUUGAUAGAAGUGCAGCAUUUGAAGUUAAGUAAGGUUUGUCAGGAAACAGGACAAGUGUUUCCUGACUCGGGUCUUAGUCAUAUGAUGACCCGAGUCAUCAUAUGGCUUACCAGUCCACUCGUUGAAAAGUUAUAACGAUUAGAAAUAUGUGCAGCACAUGCACGGAGAGGGGGUUUAUAUACUCUCGUCAGAAUCUCAGGAUGUUGCUAUGUCUUACAUAUUUUAUAAAUGAUUUAGAAAACCGACAAGUUAAUGAAUGAAACACUUGUGCAACAUUUAGGUAUCUUUAUUGUGGAGGAAACGUUUUGCCAGCUAAUGGCUUCGUUACUCAAAUACUCUUACUUCUACUCAUUCCUCUACAAUUUUGUCCUCGUGUGUGUUCGCACCUGUAUGUUGAUUACACUACAUCGAGGUCAUUCCAUUUUCCGACCAUCCUGAAACUGAAAAAUUACUUCCUGAUAUCUUUAUGACUGUCUUCCAGCUGUACCCCAGAGUACCCGUUUCCAACCUCUCAAAUAGCCUGUCCCUGUCUACCUUGUGAAUCUCUGCGAGUAUUGUAUAUGUUAUGUCUCUCCAGGUCCUCCUGUCCUCCAGGGUCGUUGGAUUAAAUUAUUUUAGCCUCCAUAGCUCUUAGCUCUGGAACUAGUCUCGUUACAUACAUCUACACUUUUUCCGUCUCUUAACAUACUUUCUCAGGUGUGGCUUCUAUAUUGGUGCUGUGUACUUCAAGGUGGUCUUGACACAUGUUGUAUAAAGCACCCGGAAUGAUUCUUGUUGAGAUUCCUGGAGGCCAUUCAGAUUUGCCAGGCGAGGAUUGGCUACAAAGGUUAUUCGGCUGAUGUGCUGCUGGCGACAUGCAUACUCCCAGGACGUGCCGAGUCUGCAGACUCGGUCCCCGGAGUCUUCUCUUGGGUCCAGUCUUGUGGAUUCUUUCCCAAUCUUCAUAAAUGUGCAUUUGCUGGUGUGUGAGCAUGCACGUGCACACGUUGUGGUGCAUGCUUAUGUUGAGAAAGUAAACAAGUGGUUUUAGGGACUUAUUCGGACUUGUUCUCGAAGUUCGAAUUACAGUGCCUACUCUAUUGAUGGAUCGAGUUGUCGCAGUUCGGCAGUUGAUCUGAUUUGCGAUGUCGGUGCACUUCUGGAAAGACAGCUAUAAACAGUCUGAUGGUGAAUGGGUUUUGGGUCAAUACCUUGGUUGGAUUUGUUUAAAAAACUGAUUUACAACGUGCAACAAAAGAUGAGCUAAUUUGUAUUGUUGACUAUUGUUAAUAAUUGAAAUAUUGCAGUACAUGAAUUAUCUCCAAUAUAGCGCAUGUAUUCUUAAAGUACACGCGCUUAUGGCUCUUAGGUAUAAGUACUGUAAAUCAAAUUACGUGAUUUCUGGACUCUAGGUUCGAUACUGAACUUUUGAAUCGGUGUGUGGUAUUUGACUCCAUCUUUCUAUUUCAUUCUACGUAUUACACGAGACUGAAAAAAAGUAUUUUGUCAUCACUGUGGCUCAUAUACCACAGCAAUUAAGUUAUGUACAAACUCUUCCGCAUCUUUAACUACCUUUCCUUGUUCACUCUAAUACAUUGAGAAUGUUGUAUAUCAUCUCUUGAUAUUUGUUAAAUGUUAAUAUUUUUGCGGAUCAUCGGCCCCUUUGGACAGGUCUGAGCCGUGGGUACGAUGAUCUCCAUAACCAUUAAGGGAUAAGUCUCGCCAGACCAGGCUUCUUAAAUCGGGAAGGAAAUAUUACAGGAAUUAUAACUUCGAAAUCUACAUUUUUUAAGUUACUGAGGCACUAUAUACUAAACAGUUGCGAACGUCUAAAAUUUAUGCAGCGAGAAGUAUAUAUCAUAAUUCACACGAGGACAAUACUAGAAGGGCUACUCGCUGAAAAUAAAACGGGUGCAGUAAGUACACCGAGACUUCGAUAAACAUAAAUGGUUGGAGGCUUAUGAACAUUCUCACUUUAAAUAUCGAGAAAUUACAAAUAAACCACUGCCUGUCAAGAGGAACGUGGCAAGCUCUCAAAAGCUCCUAAUCAGCAAGGCUGUGGUACCCACUUCGGAAUUUGUGCAAGAAAUCAGCUUGAAUGACCAGGCCGUUGACCAGGAGGCCGGGCGAUAAUCCUCGGAGCUAUCGACAGGUGAGUAGCGACCUGAUGAGCGACGCGUGCGAGCCUUCUGGAGAGAGCAGAACUAAUGAUGGCUACGGAGGCUUCAACGAUUACGACAAUCAGCCUAGAAGAAGGUACGUUGAUAGUUGUGUAUAAACCUACUUGGCUAACUAAAAGGGAUCUAUUCAUAACACCUGACCCUACCUAAUUAUUAUUUGUUUCAGUAAUCAUUGAUUCGUAUUCUAUUUACUCCUACUUUUGUACAUCUUCCAUUUUGUUCCACUUACGCCUUAAAUAUCCUAUGGAGACGAGGUCUGAAAACGGGUUAUCACUCAGUCUUAAAGUACAAAGGUGGCAGCAAAGAAAUUGAAAAAACUAGACCACUAUUACUAACGUCUAGUAUUAUCAAAAUCGUGGAGAGUUUAAGACGCAAGAUUGCUUAACACAUGGGUUGGGCAAGUGUUGUGAUACCAAGGCAACAUGUGUUUAAUGCCAGUUGCUCCUGCCCCCUCGCAAUUGUUGAACGAUUACGAGUGUUCUGAAUGUUCUGGAAGACAUAACAUGUAUAUUUAUAAUCAUGGUUUAGCGGCGUACAAAGUGUAUGCCAAAGGAGCAACUGGUAAAGGGGCAUAUGAUUCCGAUUCUACCAAAUCGGAAGGAAAAAAUAAUGAAGUUAAAUCAGAAAAUGUCACAGUGAUAAGGUUUCAAAUUUUAUCUGAGUCGUGAGUUAUGAUAUACCGAUACAGCAGUUACUCUUACAGUGGCCAGUAGUACAGUGUGGAGGGGAAGAGGGGGAAACGAAGGUGUUGCCAUAGGGUAAGGGAAUGAAGCGUGUAAGUGUAAAGGAGGAGUAGUGAUAAAAAAAAAAUGUGUGAAAGGCAGCAAUACAUUAAGCUACAAGUGUGCCGCAUUCACCCAAGGGGAAGAUAGAUUUAUUUGUAAAGUAGCUCAAACAACAUGGCAAACGUUUUGUAGCCCUUGGUUUACCCAAAGGUGCAAGGAGGCCAGAACCAAGUGUGCUAGAAAAUGGAAGAAGUAUAGAGGCAAAGACCCAGGAGAAUAAGGAAAGCAGUCGUAGAGCCAGAAAUGAAUAUGCACAGGUAAGAAGGGAGACCGAAAGACAGUAUGAGAAUGACAUUGCUGCAAAAGCCAAAUCUGACCCAAAGCUGUUGUACAGCCACAUCAGGAGGAAAACACCAGUCAUCGACCAGGUAAUCAGGCUGAGGAAGGGAGGAGGAGAGGUCACAAGAAAUCUCCGCAUAGCAUGCGAGGUGCUCAACAUGAGACUCAAAGAAAUGUUCACAGAGACAGAAGGGACUCCAGAAAGACGGAGAGGUGGGGUACACCAAGUGUUGGAUACAGUACAUAAAAUCGAGGAAGAAGUGAAGAGGCUGUUAAACGAGCUAGAUACCUCAAAAGAGAUGGGGCCGGAUAACCCCUCUCCAUGGGUCCUGAGAGAGGGAGCAGAGGCGCUAUGUUUACCACUAACAAACUUCACGUCUAUCGAAACAGAGGCGACUGCCUGAGGUAUGGAAGACAGCAAAUGUAGUCGCAGUUUUUGAAAAAGGGGAGACAGACAAAGCAUUAAGCUAUACAGACUAGUGUCACUAACAUAUAUAGUAUGCAAGGUCAUGGAGAAGAGUAGUGGAGCACAGUUUCAGGGACGAGAAAUCUUGCGUCACCUACUGCAGGUCUAUGACAGGGUAACAGCAGUAAGACAAAAGAGAGGGGUGGGUAGAUUGCGUUUUCUUGGACUGUAAAAAGGCGUUUGACACAGUUCCACACAAGAGAUUAGUGCAAAAGCUGGAGGACCAGGCCAGGAUAACAAGAAAGGUGCUACAGUGGAUCAGGGAAUAUCUAUCAGGAAGACAACAGCAAGUCAAGGUACGUGGCGAGGUGUCAGAGUGAGCAGCUGUAACGAGCGGGGUGCCACAGGGGUCACUCCUAGGACCGGUGCUGUUUCUGGUAUUUGUGAAGGACGUGACGGAAGGAAUACACUAAAAAGUGUUCCUGUUUGCAGAUGAUAUGAAGUUGAGAAAAAAUCAAUCGGACGAGGACUAGGCAGAACUACAAAGGGAUCUGGACAAGCUGCAGGCCUGGUCCAGCAAUGGUUCCUGGAGUUCAACCCCACCAAGUGUAGUCAUGAAUAUUGGAGAAGGGCAAAGAAGACCACAGACAGAGCACGGUCUAGGGGGCCAGAGACUACAAACCUCACUCAGAGAAAAGGAUCUGGGGACGAGUAUAAUACCGGGAACAUCUGAGGCGCACAUCAACCAAAUAACUGCUGCAGCAUACGGGCACCUAGCAAACCUAAGAACAGCAUUCCGACAUCUUAAUAAGGAAUCAUUCAGGACCCUGUACACUGUGUACUUAGGCCCAUAUUGGAGUUUGUAGCACCAGUUUGGAACCCACACCUUGCCAAGCAUGUAAGGAAACUAGAGAAAUGGCAAAGGUUUGUAACAAGACUUGUCCCGCAGCUAAGGGUUAUGUCCUACGAGAAGAGGUUAAGGGAAAUCGACCUGACGACACUGGAAGACAGGAAAGAUAUGGGGGAUAUGAUAACUACAUCUAAAAUACUGAGAGGAAUCGACAAGGUGGACAGACAGGAUGUUCCAGAGAUGGGACACAGCAACAAGGGGUCACAGUUGGAAGGUGAAUCACAGGAAUGUUAGGAAGUAUUUCUUCAGUCACAGAUUUGUCAGGAAGUGGAAUAGUCUGGGAAGUGAUGUAGUGGAGGCAGGAUCCAUACAUAGCUUUAAGCAGAGGUAUGAUAAAGCUCACGGCUCAGGGGGAGUGACCUAGUAGCGAUCAGUGAAGAGGCGGGGCCAGGAGCUCGGACUCGACCCCCGCAACCUCAACUAGGUGAGUACACACACACCAAA
Molecule: non-coding RNA, 9109 nt
Organism: Cherax quadricarinatus
Lineage: Eukaryota; Metazoa; Arthropoda; Malacostraca; Decapoda; Parastacidae
Source: RefSeq, a predicted model, not a curated record